Long non-coding RNA from Salvelinus sp. IW2-2015, 215 nucleotides. RefSeq lists it as uncharacterized. The record is from RefSeq and is a predicted model, not a curated record. NCBI's taxonomy places the organism in Eukaryota, Metazoa, Chordata, Actinopteri, Salmoniformes, Salmonidae.
UUCUUCUUCAACACUUCGAAUGGGAAGGAUUUACUCCAGACACACGACAAGGCCCUCAUCCCCGUCAUUCGCAGGAGGAAAAGACAGAGGUAUCGUGGACGACGGUCCGGGUGCCCUGUAAGGAUCCGUYGCUGAGAGGUCAAUUGGACGACGCUUUGCGUUCGUGUGGAAGGAAAUGUGCAACACAAUCAAACAUGAGGAGAGUGAACGUGACA